This is a long non-coding RNA of Drosophila albomicans, 568 nucleotides long. RefSeq lists it as uncharacterized. The record is from RefSeq and is a predicted model, not a curated record. The transcript is spliced from 2 exons. NCBI's taxonomy places the organism in Eukaryota, Metazoa, Arthropoda, Insecta, Diptera, Drosophilidae.
UUGCACUAUGGUCCCAAAUCCCGAUUUGGUGGCAUAAAGUCCAAAAUUUCAUGGAAGAAAAUCUGAAUUUUUUUUUAUAUAUUUAAACUAGAUACCCUAGAUAGAAAGUAUCAAUAAAUAUUUUUGUCAAAAAUGCAACCUUGCAAUUUUUACAGAUGUUUAAAGUCAGGUGAUUGAGCAGCUGAUUUUUGUGACAAAAUUGGCGGGAAAUUUUUAAUAACUUUGAGCGCUUGGCAAAUCUAAACUAAACAAUAUUUUUCUAUUAUUUAAAAUGGAUAUUGAAGUUGGAGGAAAUCAAAAAGCUGACAAAAGUGUUCGUCUUCUGUAGAGGAAAAAAAGGUGUUCUGCGUAUUUGUGCGUUGUUUAAUGUAUGUUAAACAAUAGUAGACACUUUAUAUUAAAUUUUAAUAAUAGUUUGGUUUGCGGCUUUUUGCGGCUUUUCCGAUGCUUUAAUUAUUUAGAUGUGCUUGAAUUCUGUCACGCCACGUUGCUGGACGUGUGGAUGGACAGCGGGCGCCACUCUUCCGCGCUGGUUGAACUUGUAUUUGGUCAAAUAGAUGAAUGUACA